This is a non-coding RNA of Labrus bergylta (ballan wrasse), 266 nucleotides long. The record is from RefSeq and is a predicted model, not a curated record. Lineage: Eukaryota; Metazoa; Chordata; Actinopteri; Labriformes; Labridae.
AAAUCUUUUGGGGUUUUUGUGUCUUAGCAGCGAGGUGACUGGUUUGUUGCAGUUCUGCUGAAAUUUAAAAAUCGUCUUUUUUCUACAUUUUCUCUGUUUAAGCUCCUGGAGGUUUGUUUGGUGAUGGGUGUUACUGCAGUCCUGUCAGUGAACAUGGUAACAGCCAUCAUGUUACUGACUGUCUUCUCUCUUUCAGCUGGUUAAAGUCAAGAUGCUUCAACAAACAGGUGAAGGUGAGUUACUAGAUGAGGACAGGUUCAUCAUUC